AUGAAGUUUAACAGGGGUCGCCGCCACCGACGGAACUCGAAGGCAGAAGUUGAUAGUGGAGACAUGCUAAGCAAGCUGCCUGGCAAUAUACAAGCUUGUAAUGGGGACAGGCUAAGUGAGCUGCCCGCCGAUGUGCUGCUCAACAUUCUCGAGAGGGUGGGCACACUUGAUGCUGUAAGAACCUGCAUCCUUUCGAAGAAAAUGCAUAGGCUGCCAACUAUGCUCUCGCAGAUCGUCAUUGAUCUCAGCCCUCGUGAUUUGUUUCAAAAAAGUGAUGUCGUGGCUGAUGUGACCAACAAGAUUCUUAGUAGGAGGCCUCCACAAAUCACCAUUCGCAAGCUGAAGCUCAAAUUUGUCUUGAGUCCUCCUUGCUGUCAUUCCAUAGGCAAAUCCGUUGGCCUGGCCAUGGCAACACAUAAAUUUGAUGCAGCUGAGUUUGAGAUCUUGACACCGAAGGAUUCCCAUAUUUGCACUGAUGACCAUCGUGUGCUCUUUGCUGACCAGUUCAAUAAUUUUGUUCGUGAUUAUCCAGAUGCAUUUGCUGGUCUCACGCGUCUGCAUCUACGGAACAUGAGCUUUGGUGAAUCAGACAUACCCAACAUUCUUCGCUAUUGCAAGGUGCUGGAGUCACUGUCUUUCUUCAUGUGUGGCGCGGGGAUCAGUUCGGUGCUGCAUGUGGAACAUACUCGUCUCACCGAACUUGUUAUCUCCUAUUGUGAAUUCAAAAGAGUGGAGCUCAGCUGUCUACCAAAGCUCCAACGGGUGACCUUUGGUAAUUGGACCUGUGGUUGCUCAAAAAAAAGUAAUUGGCCCUGUGAUGAAAGUCCGCUGAUUCUUGGUUUUGUCCCGCAACUUUCGAAGCUAAGCCUUCCUCAAGCUUGUCUUUCACGGAAGACCCUCAACCUAAGCCAGUUGCUUGCUAAUGUCCCCACUGUAAGCGAUUUGUAUUUGGAGUUUCGAAGCGAAAAGGUACUCACUCCAAUAUCUCUACCACAUUAUCAUUGUAUGAUGCUUAUAUGCAAUGGUAGUAACUUAUGCAUCAUUCGAGGAUUUAAUUUAUGCACAACUUCUUUUUGUCUGUACCAGGUUUGGAUUCGACCAGAAUGCCCAAAAGUGCUUGCUCCGGUGCUCACCCAACUACGGUCUGUGAGUCUGGACAAUCUUCCCGAAGAAUGUGACAUCUCUUGGACAAUGUUCCUUCUUGAAGCUGCACCAUCCGUAGAGGACCUUUGCAUCACAGUAUGGGAUCAUAAGUGCCGGAAGGAGUCACAAAAGAGUCGCUCCAGGAAAAUGGAUGUGCAUUGGGAGCCAUCUGAUCCUGAUUUUAAGCACAAGAAUCUGGCUAGGCUAACUAUCUACGGUUUCCAGUCCGAUGACAAUUUCAUCGGAUACGUUAGACGAGUCAUUCAAGCUGCGGCGAACAUCAGGGAGGUAUCCCUGCACGACAGGAAGGUAUGCCGAUUGUGUUCUGAAAAGUUUCCUCAUCUUGGUGUUCGUCCUUCGAGUUAUCCACGGACCAGCAAGGAAGUGGAUUUGUUGAUGAAGAAUAUGACAGCGGCGGCAACGACUUCUCCUGAUAUUCACUUCUGCUCAUAA
This 1596-nucleotide ribosomal RNA is filed under the name Triticum aestivum (bread wheat). Its description in RNAcentral is "partial small subunit ribosomal RNA". Lineage: Eukaryota; Viridiplantae; Streptophyta; Magnoliopsida; Poales; Poaceae. The record is from RNAcentral.